UCCCGUGUGGCUCAGUUGGUAGAGCAUGGUGUUUGCAACGCCAGGGUUGUGGGUUUGAUUCACACGGGGGAC
RNAcentral lists this transfer RNA (72 nucleotides) under Salmo salar (Atlantic salmon). It matches the Rfam family "tRNA". From Rfam's summary of the family: Transfer RNA (tRNA) molecules are approximately 80 nucleotides in length. Their secondary structure includes four short double-helical elements and three loops (D, anti-codon, and T loops). The record is from Rfam by way of RNAcentral. Lineage: Eukaryota; Metazoa; Chordata; Actinopteri; Salmoniformes; Salmonidae.